This 435-nucleotide ribosomal RNA is filed under the name uncultured Anoxybacillus sp. RNAcentral's name for it is "bacterial SSU rRNA". It matches the Rfam family "Bacterial small subunit ribosomal RNA", at positions 946 to 1382 of the family's 1533-position model. The record is from RNAcentral. Lineage: Bacteria; Bacillati; Bacillota; Bacilli; Caryophanales; Anoxybacillaceae.
UUAAUUCGAAGCAACGCGAAGAACCUUACCAGGUCUUGACAUCCCUGACACCCGAGAGAUCGGGCGUUCCCCUUCGGGGGACAGGGUGACAGGUGGUGCAUGGUUGUCGUCAGCUCGUGUCGUGAGAUGUUGGGUUAAGUCCCGCAACGAGCGCAACCCUCGACCUUAGUUGCCAGCAUUCAGUUGGGCACUCUAAGGUGACUGCCGGCUAAAAGUCGGAGGAAGGUGGGGAUGACGUCAAAUCAUCAUGCCCCUUAUGACCUGGGCUACACACGUGCUACAAUGGGCGGUACAAAGGGUCGCGAACCCGCGAGGGGGAGCCAAUCCCAAAAAGCCGCUCUCAGUUCGGAUUGCAGGCUGCAACUCGCCUGCAUGAAGCCGGAAUCGCUAGUAAUCGCGGAUCAGCAUGCCGCGGUGAAUACGUUCCCGGGCCUU